ACUAACAAGGAUUCCCCUAGUAACUGCGAGUGAAGCGGGAAAAGCUCAAAUUUAAAAUCUGGCGGUCUUUGGCCGUCCGAGUUGUAGUCUGGAGAAGCGUCUUCCGCGCUGGACCGUGUAUAAGUCUCUUGGAACAGAGCGUCAUAGAGGGUGAGAAUCCCGUCUUUGACACGGACUACCAGUGCUUUGUGAUGCGCUCUCAAAGAGUCGAGUUGUUUGGGAAUGCAGCUCAAAAUGGGUGGUGAAUUCCAUCUAAAGCUAAAUAUUGGCGAGAGACCGAUAGCGAACAAGUACCGUGAGGGAAAGAUGAAAAGCACUUUGGAAAGAGAGUUAAACAGUACGUGAAAUUGCUGAAAGGGAAACGCUUGAAGUCAGUCGCGUUGUCCGGGACUCAGCCUUGCUUCGGCUUGGUGCACUUUCCGGAUGACGGGCCAGCAUCGAUUUUGACCGCUGGAAAAGGGCUGGAGGAAUUGGCACCUUCGGGUGUGUUAUAGCCUUCAGUCGCAUACGGCGGUUGGGAUCGAGGAACGCAGCACGCCUUUUGGCGGGGGGUUUACCCUACCUUCGUGCUUAGGAUGCUGGCAUAAUGGCUUUAAACGACCCGUCUUGAAACACGGACC
RNAcentral lists this ribosomal RNA (620 nucleotides) under Pycnoporus sp. DIS 343d. Its description in RNAcentral is "eukaryotic LSU rRNA". It matches the Rfam family "Eukaryotic large subunit ribosomal RNA", at positions 64 to 667 of the family's 3401-position model. The record is from RNAcentral. Lineage: Eukaryota; Fungi; Basidiomycota; Agaricomycetes; Polyporales; Polyporaceae.